Molecule: ribosomal RNA, 484 nt
Filed under: uncultured bacterium
Lineage: Bacteria
Description: partial 16S ribosomal RNA
Rfam family: Bacterial small subunit ribosomal RNA
Source: RNAcentral
AUUGAACGCUGGCGGCAGGCCUAACACAUGCAAGUCGAGCGGAUGAACGGAGCUUGCUCCUGGAUUCAGCGGCGGACGGGUGAGUAAUGCCUAGGAAUCUGCCUGGUAGUGGGGGAUAACGUCCGGAAGCGGGCGCUAAUACCGCAUACGUCCUGAGGGAGAAACAUGGUGAUCUUCGGACCUUUCUCUCUCAGAUGAGCCUAGGUCGGAUUAGCUAGUUGGUGGGGUAAAGGCCUACCAAGGCGACGAUCCGUAACUGGUCUGAGAGAAUGAUCAGUCACACUGGAACUGAGACACGGUCCAGACUCCUGCGAGAGGCAGCAGUGGGGAAUGUUAGACAAUGGGCGAAAGCAUGAUACAGCCAUGCCGCGUGUGUGAAAAAAAUCUUCCGAUUGUAAAGCACUUUAAGUUGGGAGGAAGGGCAGUAAGUUAAUACCAAGCUGUAUUGACGUUACCAACAGAAUAAGCACCGGCUAACUUCGUG